UGGUGGAGUGAUCUGUCUGAUUAAUUUCGUUAACGAACGAGACCUCGACCUGCUAAAUAGCUCGGCGAGCGCCUCGUGCGCUCGGUUCCGCGGCUUCUUAGAGGGACGUUCGGUGCGUAGCCGAAGGAAGUUCGAGGCAAUAACA
RNAcentral lists this ribosomal RNA (145 nucleotides) under uncultured eukaryote. Its description in RNAcentral is "partial 18S ribosomal RNA". It matches the Rfam family "Eukaryotic small subunit ribosomal RNA", at positions 1299 to 1458 of the family's 1831-position model. The record is from RNAcentral.